This 428-nucleotide ribosomal RNA is filed under the name uncultured bacterium. RNAcentral's name for it is "bacterial SSU rRNA". It matches the Rfam family "Bacterial small subunit ribosomal RNA", at positions 355 to 775 of the family's 1533-position model. The record is from RNAcentral.
UGGGGAAUAUUGGACAAUGGGGGGAACCCUGAUCCAGCGAUGCCGCGUGUGUGAAGAAGGCCUGAGGGUUGUAAAGCACUUUCAGCGGGGAGGAGGAUUUAUUGGUUAAGAGCUGAUGAAUUGGACGUUACCUGCAGAAGAAGCACCGGCUAACUCCGUGCCAGCAGCCGCGGUAAUACGGAGGGUGCGAGCGUUAAUCGGAAUUACUGGGCGUAAAGGGUGCGCAGGUGGUUUAUAUAGUCAUGCGUAGAAGCCCUGGGCUCAACCUGGGAAUGUCGUGUGAUACUGAUAGACUGGAGUACGGGAGAGGGCAGUGGAAUUUCCGGUGUAGCGGUGAAAUGCGUAGAUAUCGGAAGGAACACCGGUGGCGAAGGCGGCUGCCUGGCCUGAUACUGACACUGAGGCACGAAAGCGUGGGGAGCAAACAG